Molecule: ribosomal RNA, 1343 nt
Filed under: uncultured bacterium
Lineage: Bacteria
Description: 16S ribosomal RNA
Rfam family: Bacterial small subunit ribosomal RNA
Source: RNAcentral
GACGAACGCUGGCGGCGUGCUUAACACAUGCAAGUCGAACGGAAAGGCCCUGCUUUUGUGGGGUGCUCGAGUGGCGAACGGGUGAGUAACACGUGAGUAACCUGCCCUUGACUUUGGGAUAACUUCAGGAAACUGGGGCUAAUACCGGAUAGGAGCUCCUGCUGCAUGGUGGGGGUUGGAAAGUUUCGGCGGUUGGGGAUGGACUCGCGGCUUAUCAGCUUGUUGGUGGGGUAGUGGCUUACCAAGGCUUUGACGGGUAGCCGGCCUGAGAGGGUGACCGGCCACAUUGGGCCUGAGAUACGGCCCAGACUCCUACGGGAGGCAGCAGUGGGGAAUAUUGCACAAUGGGCGGAAGCCUGAUGCAGCAACGCCGCGUGCGGGAUGACGGCCUUCGGGUUGUAAACCGCUUUCGCCUGUGACGAAGCGUGAGUGACGGUAAUGGGUAAAGAAGCACCGGCUAACUACGUGCCAGCAGCCGCGGUGAUACGUAGGGUGCGAGCGUUGUCCGGAUUUAUUGGGCGUAAAGGGCUCGUAGGUGGUUGAUCGCGUCGGAAGUGUAAUCUUGGGGCUUAACCCUGAGCGUGCUUUCGAUACGGGUUGACUUGAGGAAGGUAGGGGAGAAUGGAAUUCCUGGUGGAGCGGUGGAAUGCGCAGAUAUCAGGAGGAACACCAGUGGCGAAGGCGGUUCUCUGGGCCUUUCCUGACGCUGAGGAGCGAAAGCGUGGGGAGCGAACAGGCUUAGAUACCCUGGUAGUCCACGCUGUAAACGGUGGGUACUAGGUGUGGGGUCCAUUCCACGGGUUCCGUGCCGUAGCUAACGCUUUAAGUACCCCGCCUGGGGAGUACGGCCGCAAGGCUAAAACUCAAAGGAAUUGACGGGGCCCCGCACAAGCGGCGGAGCAUGCGGAUUAAUUCGAUGCAACGCGUAGAACCUUACCUGGGUUUGACAUGGAUCGGGAGUGCUCAGAGAUGGGUGUGCCUCUUUUGGGGUCGGUUCACAGGUGGUGCAUGGCUGUCGUCAGCUCGUGUCGUGAGACGUUGGGUUAAGUCCCGCAACGAGCGCAACCCUUGUUCACUGUUGCCAGCACGUUAUGGUGGGGACUCAGUGGAGACCGCCGGGGUCAACUCGGAGGAAGGUGGGGAUGACGUCAAGUCAUCAUGCCCCUUAUGUCCAGGGCUUCACGCAUGCUACAAUGGCUGGUACAGAGAGUGGCGAGCCUGUGAGGGUGAGCGAAUCUCGGAAAGCCGGUCUCAGUCCGGAUUGGGGUCUGCGACUCGACCUCAUGAAGUCGGAGUCGCUAGUAAUCGCAGAUCAGCAACGCUGCGGUGAAUACGUUCCCGGG